This 91-nucleotide transfer RNA is filed under the name Betaproteobacteria bacterium. Its description in RNAcentral is "tRNA-Ser". It matches the Rfam family "tRNA". Rfam says of the family: Transfer RNA (tRNA) molecules are approximately 80 nucleotides in length. Their secondary structure includes four short double-helical elements and three loops (D, anti-codon, and T loops). Further hydrogen bonds mediate the characteristic L-shaped molecular structure. tRNAs have two regions of fundamental functional importance: the anti-codon, which is responsible for specific mRNA codon recognition, and the 3' end, to which the tRNAs corresponding amino acid is attached (by aminoacyl-tRNA synthetases). tRNAs cope with the degeneracy of the genetic code in two manners: having more than one tRNA (with a specific anti-codon) for a particular amino acid; and 'wobble' base-pairing, i.e. permitting non-standard base-pairing at the 3rd anti-codon position. Lineage: Bacteria; Pseudomonadati; Pseudomonadota; Betaproteobacteria. RNAcentral also lists the same sequence under 2 other names. The record is from RNAcentral.
GGAGAGGUGGGCGAGUGGUUUAAGUCGCACGCCUGGAAAGCGUGUUUAGGCUAAUACCCUAACGCGGGUUCGAAUCCCGCCCUCUCCGCCA